GGGCCAGUAGCUCAGCGGUUAGAGCAGUCGUCUUAUAAGCGACAGGCCGAUGGUUCGAAUCCAUCCUGGCCCA
RNAcentral lists this transfer RNA (73 nucleotides) under Candidatus Colwellbacteria bacterium CG10_big_fil_rev_8_21_14_0_10_42_22. Its description in RNAcentral is "tRNA-Ile". It matches the Rfam family "tRNA". Rfam says of the family: Transfer RNA (tRNA) molecules are approximately 80 nucleotides in length. The record is from RNAcentral. Lineage: Bacteria; Candidatus Colwelliibacteriota.